GCUCCUCUAGCUCAGUGGUAGAGCGUGGGAUUGCAGCCACGCAAUUCAUCCUAAGGCCAGUCGUUCGAACCGGCUGGGGAGCU
Molecule: transfer RNA, 83 nt
Filed under: Friedmanniomyces endolithicus
Lineage: Eukaryota; Fungi; Ascomycota; Dothideomycetes; Mycosphaerellales; Teratosphaeriaceae
Description: tRNA-Cys
Rfam family: tRNA
About the family: Transfer RNA (tRNA) molecules are approximately 80 nucleotides in length. Their secondary structure includes four short double-helical elements and three loops (D, anti-codon, and T loops).
Source: RNAcentral